Molecule: ribosomal RNA, 244 nt
Filed under: uncultured bacterium
Lineage: Bacteria
Description: partial 16S ribosomal RNA
Rfam family: Bacterial small subunit ribosomal RNA
Source: RNAcentral
UAGUCCACGCCGUAAACGAUGAAUACUAGGUGUAGGGGUUUCAACACCUCUGUGCCGCCGCUAACGCAUUAAGUAUUCCGCCUGGGGAGUACGGUCGCAAGAUUAAAACUCAAAGGAAUUGACGGGGGCCCGCACAAGUAGCGGAGCAUGUGGUUUAAUUCGAAGCAACGCGAAGAACCUUACCUAGACUUGACAUCUUCUGCAUUACCCUUAAUCGGGGAAGUUCCUUCGGGAACAGAAUGAC